CCAAUAGCGUAUAUUAAAGUUGUUGCAGUUAAAAAGCUCGUAGUUGAAUUUCGGGGUCAGCAGGUUGGUCGUGCCUAUGGUAUGAACUGGCUUCGCUGGUCUCUCCUUUCUGAAGAACUGUAAUGCCAUUAAUUUGGUGUUGCAGGGACACAGGACUGUUACUUUGAAAAAAUUCGAGUGUUUAAAGCAGGCUAACGCUUGAAUACAUUAGCAUGGAAUAAUGAAAUAGGACGUUCGAACCUAUUUUGUUGGUUUCUAGGAUUGACGUAAUGAUUAAUAGGGAUAGUUGGGGGCAUUAGUAUUCAAUUGUCAGAGGUGAAAUUCUUGGAUUUAUUGAAGACUGACUACUGCGAAAGCAUUUGCCAAGGAUGUUUUCAUUAAUCAAGAACGAAAGUUAGGGGAUCGAAGACGAUCAGAUACCGUCGUAGUCUUAACCAUAAACUAUGCCGACUAGGGAUCGGAUGAUGUUAAUUUUUUAAUGACUCAUUCGGCGCCUUACG
This 500-nucleotide ribosomal RNA is filed under the name uncultured Glomeromycotina. RNAcentral's name for it is "partial small subunit ribosomal RNA". It matches the Rfam family "Eukaryotic small subunit ribosomal RNA", at positions 591 to 1092 of the family's 1831-position model. Lineage: Eukaryota; Fungi; Glomeromycota. The record is from RNAcentral.